GCCGGGGUGGUGGAAUGGCAGACACGCUACCUUGAGGUGGUAGUGCCAGUAAUGGUGUGGAGGUUCGACUCCUCUCCUCGGCA
This 83-nucleotide transfer RNA is filed under the name Candidatus Dojkabacteria bacterium CG_4_10_14_0_2_um_filter_Dojkabacteria_WS6_41_15. Its description in RNAcentral is "tRNA-Leu". It matches the Rfam family "tRNA". Rfam says of the family: Transfer RNA (tRNA) molecules are approximately 80 nucleotides in length. Their secondary structure includes four short double-helical elements and three loops (D, anti-codon, and T loops). The record is from RNAcentral. RNAcentral also lists the same sequence under 2 other names.